GGGCCUUUGUGCCAAACUGCUAAUGCGAAAGUGUCCGCCUAACGGAUAGCCUGAGAUUGCUAAUGCGGGAAUGUUCGCCUAAUUGAUAGCACUGUUUCUUACUGUGAUACACAUUAUUAUGAUGAGGCCUAAUUGACACGGGUAACCGUGAUGCCAAGGUGUCUAAUUGACACAGUAAAGGAACCAUAUUCGGGGUUCGCUCCGAGUAACGUCGGGUUGCGGGUAGACAACCGACGCAUGAGCUCAUGGCCUGCUUAGGAGAGACAUGCAUCAUAUUGAUUGCGCAUUUAUAUUUGAUCUUGUUUUGCUUGUUAUAUUUUCUCUGUGAUAGUGCUGCUUGACUUGUUUGUCUUAUUGCAAUUUGUUUGUUUAUUGAUCUGUUUCUUGUGCUGUUGUUUCUCUGUGAUUGGGAACUGAGGUUGUGAUUGAGAUUAGUUUACGUUCGGAAAUUUAAAGAAUGUAAUAAGGUAAAAAUAAAAAGUAUUUCCAAAGGCUUAACAAAAUAGUUUUAUUGAGUAAAGUUAGUUAUUUGCAAUUUAUUUCAUUACUUUUACGGCAUUCCCAUUCCCUACUGAGAACUAGUGGUGUGUUCUCACCCCAAAAUCUUCCACCCUUUCAGUGACACAGGUUCGGAGACUCAGUUUGAAGCCGCGGCCGAUUAGGAGUUUUAUUUAAGUUAAGUUUACGUGUUGAGUUGCUUUUAUAGAAUUCACUCUCCUUUGUUAUUUAAGAUUUUAUUUUAUACAGAGGGAUAGGAGUUAUAACUGAGUUUCUUUUGUAUGGUAUUUAUUAUUAUUAAUAACUAUGUGACUAGUAUUUCUUGGAGAUCUUUGAUAUAUGAUUUUCAUUAAUAGAAACAAAAGUUUUCUGGCAUUUUCUUAAAAUUGAAACGCGGUAUCGAUCUAAAGGCUCAAUAUUAAAUAGUAAAAAAAGAAAACAGGUCAGUAACGUCUUGCUUUUGGUACGAUCAUGACGUCCUGAAAGUUAAGGCGUUACAUUAUGGUAUCAGAGCAGUUCGUUCCCAUUAGAGCCUUGUGAUUGGACUGACUAUGCUUCAUUGCAUACUCUGAGUGUCUAUCAUGCUUAGUGACUUAUUCUGAUAACAAGAAUUUAGAUUUGAUAUGCAUGACUGUCUGAUGAUUAACGCUGUUAGUCUACCAUUGCAUACCUCAUGGUAUUAAGUCUGGCCAACUUAACACUAAUGAUUUAUGUAUAUGGGAACACUAAUGAAAUCCUAAAUUCCCAAUUCUAAACCCUAAUUCCUAAUUUCACCCACCCUAAUCCCUCUUACACAAAUCACACACAUAACCCCCUCCACACCUGUCCACCUCUUAGUGAGCCACGCUCACCUCUUCCUCACUAUUCACUCACCACCGCUACACCUUUUCCUUGUAUACACACAACACAAGCAACCUCACAUAACAAAAGAAAAGAAAAAGGGAGAAAAUGAAACAGGGGAAAGGAGAGUGAGAUUUGAGAGAGCAGAGAACGAGAGGAGAGGGGAACAGAAGAGGGAGACUGCGCCAGCCACCGCACCACGUUGCCGCGCCCAGCUCGCCGCCAGUCGCCGAAGAGAGGAGCGCGACCACCAUAAGGAAUCGUCAUCGUCGUCGCUGAGCUGGGAGAGAGAAAGCGUCGUCGUUCUGCUUUCCAUCAAGUCCGUUCCGCCGCUGCCGUUGCACCGUGCCGCCACUCCACACCGUUGACACUGUUCACCGAGGGAAGACAAAAGUGACGAAGGUUCCUGGUGCCACUGUCACAGUGGAAGAAACCUAGAGAGAGAAAUGAACGAGGAGCUCGAAGAGAGGGAGCGUCGUUCUUCUGCUGUUUCUGCCCAGCGUCCCUGCCGCCGGAAUUCUUGAGCGCCGCCGUUGUUCAUGCUGAAGCUUGUCAUUCGAGAAGGCAAGCUGUUGCAUCCUCCUCUUUGUUCUGACAUCGAAUUCCCCAUUCGUAACCCUGUAACGCUUCCAUUCAUGCUCUGUUUACACCCUGUUUCUCUGCUAUGUUUUUAUCCUAAUUUCAAUAGUUGAUAUCUUCAUUUUAGUAUCGAUGUAUUCUCAUGGAACUGUCAAAGUUGUGGUUGAUGUGAGCGGGAUUAAAAUUGGUGCUGCUACCGCCAUCUUGGUCAUGAAGGAAUUGCCGCUGGUGCUGUGAAUUUAAAGUAAGCGGAUUUAACCUGGGUAACUCUUGUGAGUUCAGCUAAUCGAGGUAGGGGAUAUUUUAUUAAAUUAAAUACUUUAAACUUUGAAUGCCUAAGAAGUUUACUGAGUUAUUGCAAAUAUAUAUGAAUGCUUGAUCUAUGAUGGAUUUUGGAUGCAGAGUGAAUGUGUGACUGGUUAUGUCUCUUGGUGGUUUUAUGUGGUUUGAGAUCUUGGUUAAAAGAACGUGUAUGUUGGUGUGAAAGUUUACUGAAAAUGUAUUGGGUGUUUGUAAUUGUGAAAGCAUGUUUUGUUCUUCGUUUAAAAUAUGUUUGAAUGAUGACUUUAAAAACGUUUGGUAAUGCUGAUUUUGGUUUUUAAGAACGAUUUUGAGUUAAGAUCGUGAUUGUGACUGGAUUGCUGGAAAUUCUGGUUCUAAUUUUUUAUGUCAGAUGGUGGUUAUUGAACUGUGUGCUUGAUUAGGUUGUGAUUGUUGUUAAUUGAAUAUGUUAGUUUAGUUGUGAUAUAUUUUAUUAAGAGUUCUUGGGCAACUUUGGUUAGUCAAAAGAAAGUUAGAAAUGUGGUUUUAGAUGAAUCCUAGGCUUGAAUAUAAGAUUUGGUAUGUGAGAUUGUUGGAAAUAUUUUGUGCAGAAUUUCUGCAGAAAUCUGCAUAAUUGGCAGUAGAACGAAUGAAUCUUUGGGUGCAGUCCAGACCUAAUUUUUAGAUGAAAUUAUUUUUCUGUAAAACUAUAGUGUGUCUUGAAUAUUUCAUAAAAAUUUCAGGAAAUUUGCCUAAGUGGUUUGGAAGAUAUGAUUUUUCGAAGUUUAGUGGUUGCCGCAGAUUUUUCUGGUUUACUGGUUCUGCAGUACCAACUUCCAGACGCUAUAACUUUUAAUUUAAAUAGAAUUUUGAGUUGAUUUCAAAAGUAUUUCAAAGAUCUAUCAGUCUAUUUUAAGUGAGUAUAAGUUUCAUGUUCAUAUCUAUUUUGUAGACUUAGAUAAGUCACUUGGAAGGUCGGUUGUUUGCUGGAAACUCUGAACUGGUUUAUGAAAACAGGGCUCCACUUCCAAUUGAUAAUUAAUUAAUCAAAUGAAGUGAUAUGAACCUGAAACUUGUGGAUUCUAAAACUUAGGGAUGUUGACUGUAAAAUCACCAAAAUUUAGAAGCAAUGGAUUAGAAUUGAAAUUAUUAUGGAAUUUAUAGAAAAGAUGGCUGCUGUCUGUUUUUGGAAUUUUUGUAAAUGCAACAGCAGAAUUUUAAAGCUUGUAUAAAAUUCAAUUCUAAUCCAAAUUCAGUAAAACUUAACUUGAAUUAAAGAUUAAGAUCUCUAGAAUUACCUUACCAACAUGGUUUUAGAUUAGACAAACUUAGGAAUUAAAAAGGAAUGUAAGUUGCCCUAAGAAAGGUUAAAGUUAAAGACAAUGAUAUUGAGAGAUGCAGUGAAGAAAGAAAAAUGAGGAACAAGGAAUGAAAUAAAUGUUUAAAAUUAUAUUGAAUGUGCCUUUGUGCCAAGUGCUAAUGCAGAAGUGUCCGCCUAACUGAUAGCAUAUUGUAUGUUUAAUUGGGCCUUUGUGCCAAACUGCUAAUGCGAAAGUGUCCGCCUAACGGAUAGCCUGAGAUUGCUAAUGCGGGAAUGUUCGCCUAAUUGAUAGCACUGUUUCUUACUGUGAUACACAUUAUUAUGAUGAGGCCUAAUUGACACGGGUAACCGUGAUGCCAAGGUGUCUAAUUGACACAGUAAAGAAACCAUAUUCGGGGUUCGCUCCGAGUAACGUCGGGUUGCGGGUAGACAACCGACGCAUGAGCUCAUGGCCUGC
This 3956-nucleotide long non-coding RNA is filed under the name Arachis ipaensis. RNAcentral describes it as "long non-coding RNA (AIPA_LNC000152)". Lineage: Eukaryota; Viridiplantae; Streptophyta; Magnoliopsida; Fabales; Fabaceae. The record is from RNAcentral.